ACGCCCUUACUUUGUACAGGAUCUGUUCUAUACUUCUAUAGGCUCGUACCUCUGUAUCCUUGGUUUCUAUAAAGACAGAAACCCAUGUCUGGUUGAUAAAACAUAACCAUGUAGCCAGAGCGUGAUUAACCGAGCCUUAUGGUCUUGACCAUGGCUCAGUAGAGGAUCGUUGCCAGUCCACCUAAUGGGUCCUGGCAUGGUUACUUGGUUGUCUGACAGAUG
Small nucleolar RNA from Erigeron canadensis, 222 nucleotides. RefSeq annotates it as small nucleolar RNA U3. The record is from RefSeq and is a predicted model, not a curated record. Lineage: Eukaryota; Viridiplantae; Streptophyta; Magnoliopsida; Asterales; Asteraceae. The transcript has a single exon.